GCACAGGUUUGGAUUCAUGGCAGGCCUGUCCCCCUGGGUAUCUCACAGUGCCCAUGCCAGAGCAAACUGUGGCCUUGAACCAUUGCCUGGCCUCUGCCCAUAAACUAUAGGCACUGUGGCAGGUUGCACAGUG
Phyllostomus discolor (pale spear-nosed bat) is the source of this 133-nucleotide small nucleolar RNA. RefSeq annotates it as small nucleolar RNA SNORA42/SNORA80 family. The record is from RefSeq and is a predicted model, not a curated record. The transcript has a single exon. NCBI's taxonomy places the organism in Eukaryota, Metazoa, Chordata, Mammalia, Chiroptera, Phyllostomidae.